This is an RNA transcript of Nycticebus coucang (slow loris), 1242 nucleotides long. It is a transcript of the gene named CAP-Gly domain-containing linker protein 1-like, with no coding region annotated. NCBI's taxonomy places the organism in Eukaryota, Metazoa, Chordata, Mammalia, Primates, Lorisidae. The transcript is spliced from 2 exons. The record is from RefSeq and is a predicted model, not a curated record.
AUGCCCCCACCUACUUCUGACUGUGAGUCUACCAGGGAGGCUUUUGAUAUUUACGAAAAGAACCUGACAAUUGCUGAAUGGCCAAUUGAACUGAGGUUAGGAGAGCCAUCUUACAGAAAAGUAACAGGCAGAGCCCAAGUGAAGCAAGCUGCUCAAACAGCAGAAGAUGCCAUGCAGAUAAUGGAACAGAUGACCAAAGACAAGUCUGAGACGCUGGCCCCCUUGGAGGACACCAAGCAAAGAAAUGCAAAACUACAGAAUGAAUUGGACACACUUAAAGAAAACAACUUGAAAAAUGUGGAAGAGCUGAACAAAUCAAAGGAGCUCUUGACUGUAGAGAAUCAGAAAAUGGAAGAAUUCAGGAAAGAAAUAGAAACCCUAAAGCAGGCAGCAGCUCAGAAGUCCCAGCAGCUUUCAGCAUUGCAAGAAGAGAACAUUAAACUUGCCGAGGAGCUGGGGAGAAGCAGAGAUGAAGUCACAAGUCAUCGAAAGCUGGAAGAGGAAAGAUAUGUGCUCAGUAAUCAGUUGUUAGAAAUGAAAAAAAGAGAAUCCAAGUACAUAAAAGAUGCAGAUGAAGAAAAAAAAGCCUCCUUGCAAAAAUCCAUCAGUAUAACUAGUGCCUUACUCACAGAAAAGGAUGCAGAGCUGGAAAAACUGAGAAAUGAGGUCACAGUGCUCAGGGGAGAAAACGCCUCUGCCAAGUCCUUGCAUUCAGUUGUUCAGUCUCUAGAGUCUGAUAAGGUGAAGCUUGAGCUCAAGGUAAAGAACUUGGAGCUUCAACUCAAAAAAACAAGAGGCAGCUCAACAGCUCCUCAGAUAAUACUGAUACUCAGGCAGAAGAGGAUGAAAGAGCCCAGGAGAAUCAGAUUGAUUUCCUAAAUUCAGUAAUAGUGGACCUUCGAAGGAAGAAUCAAGAUCUGAAGAUGAAGGUAGAGAUGAUGUCAGAAGCAGCCCUCAAUGGGAAUGGGGAUGAUCUCAACAAUUAUGACAGUGAUGACCAGGAGAAACAGUCUAAGAAGAAGCCUCACCUCUUCUGUGACAUAUGUGACUGCUUUGACCUGCAUGACACAGAGGAUUGUCCUACCCAGACACAGAUGUCUGAUGACCCUCCCCACUCUACACACCAUGGCAGUCGGAGUGAGGAACGCCCGUACUGUGAGAUCUGCGAGAUGUUUGGCCACUGGGCAGCCAAUUGCAAUGACGAUGAGACCUUCUGAUGAAGCCUCAAGUCAAGAACUUGGC